AGAGCGAACGCUGGCGGCAGGCCUAACACAUGCAAGUCGAGCGCCCGUAGCAAUACGGGAGCGGCAGACGGGAUAGUAACACGUGGGAACGCGCCCUUCGGUUCGGAAUAACUCAGGGAAACUUGAGCUAAUACCGAAUACGCCCUUACGGGGAAAGAUUUAUUGCCGAAGGAACGGCCCGCGUCCGAUUAGCUAGUUGGUGAGGUAAUGGCUCACCAAGGCUACGAUCGGUAGCUGGUCUGAGAGGAUGACCAGCAUCACUGGGACUGAGACACGGCCCAGACUCCUACGGGAGGCAGCAGUUUGGAAUUUGGUCAAUGGGGGAAACCCUGAACCAGCGACGCCGCGUGGACGAUGAAGGUUUUUCGGACCGUAAAGUCCUUUUGGCAGGGAAAAUUUUGAUUGUACCUGCAGAAUAAGAGGUUGCUAACUCUGUGCCAGCAGCCGC
Molecule: ribosomal RNA, 448 nt
Filed under: uncultured bacterium
Lineage: Bacteria
Description: SSU rRNA
Rfam family: Bacterial small subunit ribosomal RNA
Source: RNAcentral